CAAAAUAAUUUAAGGGAACUGGGGGAUUCAAACGGAUCCGAUAAUCGGCAGGGAACCCGAGAGAGACAUCUUUAUCAUCACUCUCCACGGAUCUUGCUUUAACCAUGCAGACAAGCACGUAUGCACAAGUGAUCACAAAAGAUGACAGGUGAAGUUGUGGCUGGUUUGACUCUUUUUGGAUCUUUUCUCUUAGUUUCUUGAUAUCUUCACGAGUUAACUCGAACGUACCUCUUACUAGUAAAUUCACAUCCUCAACAUCGUUGCUUUUCAACAACUUCAGGUUUCUCUUGCUGGGAUCCGCGCUCCACCGGUUCAGUAAAGAGGUUUCUCGGCCGGUGGGGUCUUUGAUGACCCUCCGAUCGAGCAAAGGCGUGAGUUCUUGCGGCAAAGAUGAGUCGACUUGAUCUUGUUUGCAGAUAUAAGCCCAUG
This 429-nucleotide long non-coding RNA is filed under the name Carica papaya (papaya). RNAcentral's name for it is "long non-coding RNA (CPAP_LNC011663)". The record is from RNAcentral. Lineage: Eukaryota; Viridiplantae; Streptophyta; Magnoliopsida; Brassicales; Caricaceae.